This 497-nucleotide ribosomal RNA is filed under the name uncultured bacterium. RNAcentral's name for it is "partial 16S ribosomal RNA". It matches the Rfam family "Bacterial small subunit ribosomal RNA", at positions 28 to 507 of the family's 1533-position model. The record is from RNAcentral.
GAUGAACGCUGGCGGCGUGCCUGAUACAUGCAAGUCGAGCGAACAGACGAGGAGCUUGCUCCUCUGACGUUAGCGGCGGACGGGUGAGUAACACGUGGAUAACCUACCUAUAAGACUGGGAUAACUUCGGGAAACCGGAGCUAAUACCGGAUAAUAUAUUGAACCGCAUGGUUCAAUAGUGAAAGACGGUUUUGCUGUCACUUAUAGAUGGAUCCUCGCCGCAUUAGCUAGUUGGUAAGGUAACGGCUUACCAAGGCAACGAUGCGUAGCCGACCUGAGAGGGUGAUCGGCCACACUGGAACUGAGACACGGUCCAGACUCCUACGGGAGGCAGCAGUAGGGAAUCUUCCGCAAUGGGCGAAAGCCUGACGGAGCAACGCCGCGUGAGUGAUGAAGGUCUUCGGAUCGUAAAACUCUGUUAGUAGGGAAGAACAAAUGUGAAAGUAACUAUGCACGUCUUGACGGUACCUAAUCAGAAAGCCACGGCUAACUACGUG